CACUUGCUAACGAGUCCCAAAUAGGACGAAACGCGCGUUAAACUG
Molecule: non-coding RNA, 45 nt
Filed under: Schistosoma mansoni
Lineage: Eukaryota; Metazoa; Platyhelminthes; Trematoda; Strigeidida; Schistosomatidae
Source: RNAcentral